UGCCAGUGAUAAACUGGAGGAAGGUGGGGAUGACGUCAAGUCAUCAUGGCCCUUACGACCAGGGCUACACACGUGCUACAAUGGCGCAUACAAAGAGAAGCGACCUCGCGAGAGCAAGCGGACCUCAUAAAGUGCGUCGUAGUCCGGAUUGGAGUCUGCAACUCGACUCCAUGAAGUCGGAAUCGCUAGUAAUCGUGGAUCAGAAUGCCACGGUGAAUACGUUCCCGGGCCUUGUACACACCGCCCGUCACACCAUGGGAGUGGGUUGCAAAAGAAGUAGGUAGCUUAACCUUCGGGAGGGCGCUUACCACUUUGUGAUUCAUGACUGGGGUGAAGUCGUAACAAGGUAACCGUAGGGGAACC
RNAcentral lists this ribosomal RNA (363 nucleotides) under Salmonella enterica. RNAcentral's name for it is "bacterial SSU rRNA". It matches the Rfam family "Bacterial small subunit ribosomal RNA", at positions 1150 to 1512 of the family's 1533-position model. RNAcentral also lists the same sequence under 1 other name. The record is from RNAcentral. Lineage: Bacteria; Pseudomonadati; Pseudomonadota; Gammaproteobacteria; Enterobacterales; Enterobacteriaceae.